UAAAGUGAACAGGCAAGGACUUCUAUUUCAUUAAGUUAUCAGGUGGGCUUACUAAUCAAGAAUAAAGAUGCAUACUUUAUUAUAUAAAGUUUAGUGUAUGCAUUUAUUUUCCAAUUAUUGACUUGCCAAUAUUUGAGAUUUGUAUGAUACCAUCUACAUAGAACAACGAAUUCGGUCUGAGCGAUAGGAUUUGUGUACACAGAGUUGCAGUUAACCUUUGGUUAGCUUGUCACGUGUUUGAGAAGAGGCCUACUUCUCAACACUUAAGUUAUAUGAUGCGUAGAUAUGGUACUACAUGUUAAUUGUCUGAGACGUAAUGAUGUAUGUGAUUAUAGAGAAUUUACAGUUUUCAUCACAGGUUAUUUAAAUAAAACUCUGUGUGAUGUUGAGAUGCAAGUUCAAUAUAUAGCUUUAAGAGCAAGCUUUAAAGUUAUUUCGGCAUGACCACUGAGUGCUUUUUGGUACUCAGCCCUGCAUAUGUUUCUAAAUAUGCAGGUUAAGCUGUGGUGCAGAUGGAAGCGAGCAGAGCAAAUUCUUUGAUGUAUAUGUAUUAAACCAGGCUCAGGAUUCCAUGUCUUCAUACAUGUAAUCCACAUGAAUUAUUCCGCUGCAACACUUAGUCUAUUCUACUUUAUCGAUGUGUUGUAUAUAUUUUAGAUCAAUAGCUUUGAGAAUUAUGUCACUUGAAAGUUAGACAACUUGUCGUUGUGUAUUGUAAGUUGUCUACUCAUGAGUUUUAAAAGUGAUUGCCUAUGAUUAUCCAAUAUUAAAGUAAUUCAUCGUUAAAGCGGGUUCAUUAUUAUUAUUGAAAUCUCUUUUCUUUUGCAUUUUCUUACUCCCUUUCCCAGUCACACCUUUCCCCGGCUUAACUAUACACUAGCUUAGGCCGGGCUGUGACAGAGUGGUAUCAGAGCAGGUCAUUUGCUCUGAGCCUAAAUAUUCCCUUGAGUCUAGUCUAAAUUUGAAUAUUUGGACUAGUAUGAGUA
Molecule: long non-coding RNA, 986 nt
Filed under: Salvia miltiorrhiza (redroot sage)
Lineage: Eukaryota; Viridiplantae; Streptophyta; Magnoliopsida; Lamiales; Lamiaceae
Description: long non-coding RNA (SMIL_LNC008183)
Source: RNAcentral